GUCUAUUUGAAGAUAUAAAAAGUUUAACCUGCCCACUGAUAAUUUGAAAUUGAAUGGCCGCGGUAUCUUGACCGUGCAAAGGUAGCAUAAUCGUUAGUUUUUUAAUUGGAAUCUUGUAUGAAUGGUUGGACAAAAGAAAGUCUGUCUUUGUACCAUUAAUUGAAUUUAACUUUUAAGUGAAAAGGCUUAAAUAAAUUAAAGGGACGAUAAGACCCUAUAAAGCUUAAUAUUAAAAUUUUAUUUAGUUGAAUUUUUUGUUAUAAAAACUUAGUAAUUGAGUUUAUUUUAUUGGGGCGAUAAGAGUAAAAUGAUUAUUAACUGCUUAAUUUUUAAUACAUUUAUAGAUGAUUAAAUUUUUAGAUGAUCCUAGUUAGAGAUUAAAAGUUUAAGUUACUUUAGGGAUAACAGCGUUAUUUUUCUUAAGAGUACUUAUCGAAAGAAAAGUUUGCGACCUCGAUGUUGAAUUAAAAUAUCUUUAUAAUUGCAGCAGUUAUAAAAGUAGGUCUGUUCGACCUUUAAAAUUUUACAUGAUUUGAGUUCAAACCGGCGUGAG
RNAcentral lists this ribosomal RNA (553 nucleotides) under Helice tientsinensis. Its description in RNAcentral is "partial 16S rRNA". It matches the Rfam family "Bacterial large subunit ribosomal RNA", at positions 1831 to 2625 of the family's 2925-position model. The record is from RNAcentral. Lineage: Eukaryota; Metazoa; Arthropoda; Malacostraca; Decapoda; Varunidae.